Long non-coding RNA from Salvia splendens (bonfire salvia), 862 nucleotides. RefSeq lists it as uncharacterized. NCBI's taxonomy places the organism in Eukaryota, Viridiplantae, Streptophyta, Magnoliopsida, Lamiales, Lamiaceae. The transcript is spliced from 2 exons. The record is from RefSeq and is a predicted model, not a curated record.
AAUAGUAAUAACUGAAAAAUGUAUUUGAAAUAAUUUUUAUAAAUCUAAGACAUGAUGCUUUUUAUGAAUUUAUGUUAGUAUGUGAAUGGAAUAAAUAGAAAUUAGAAUAUACAUGAUAGUUAAAUAGAGAAAUAAACUAGUAGUAAUUAGUUUAAACAAAACUAAUCCUAGUUACCUAAACUAAAAGUUCCGUUUAUUUGCUAUCAAUUAGGCAUGGCUUGGCUACAAUAUUUAAUUUAGUCUAGAAACUAAAGAAAAUUCUAGAAAAAAAAAAUGAGCUCUCAAGUGUAUUACUAAAAUAUUGCCAUGUGUUUAAUUAAGUACCACAUAUUAGAAUAUCUUGUUGAAGCUAGUAUAUAUAUAUAUAAGGAAAAUAAAAUAUCUGGGGGAUAGCCUUACAUUUUGGGAGAAGAAGGGACAGCCGUGGCCAUUGAUGAGUCUCCAAGUUUUUAUCUUCGAUUUUAUGUCGAAAUUUCAAUCUGAUCGCGUAAAACCUAAUAAAUCGAUACAUAAGGCUGAUGAUUAUCAUCGGUGGUCGCAAAGAUAGGAUAAUAACCGGAAGAGAAAAACUAUGCGAAGAGACGGAAAAGUAAAGGUGGUAAAAUGACUUAUGCUCAUAAGUCUAUCAGGUUAGUUGGCAUUGGAGAGUACUAGUUGAGGUUUCUUACUGUCCGUCUCAGCACUGCAUCCUUGACGGGUCACUGAGCUCUGUUACCGAUAGAUCUUUCGAAUGGUUAGUUGUGGCAUGUUGGCACUAAAUAUUAUACUAAGCUACUUCCGUUGUAAUUGUAAAUAUUAGAUAAUGAUUUAAAUAUUUAGUUUUGGCUGGAAAAAAAGAAAUAAUAAAAAUUUUAAAUUACCA